Molecule: long non-coding RNA, 892 nt
Organism: Mobula hypostoma (lesser devil ray)
Lineage: Eukaryota; Metazoa; Chordata; Chondrichthyes; Myliobatiformes; Myliobatidae
Exons: 3
Source: RefSeq, a predicted model, not a curated record
GUCCAAAAGUAGAGGUUAGUCAUUUAGAACCAUAUGUGAAGAAAUGUCUUUUUUCAGAAGGUAGUGAAUCUUUCAAAUUCUCAGAUAAAGGGAGGAAACAGAUUAUCUUUUAGUUUUCUUCUGGUUCUGAUCUACAAUACCCGUAAACACCAGAGACCAGCGAGGGAAUGGGGAUACUGACUAUCCCUGAACAGGCUUGGAGGCAAGAUUAACCUCAUUGAAUUCCUGGGAGAAAAAGAAUAAUUAAAAUGAAAUUGUUCCUUGAACACUUACAUUUCUCAGUUUAAAAUACUGAAGAUUAAGAGGCUGUGUAAUUGGUCAGAGUGGUGAGAGGUGGGGGAAUCACAUCUCCCAGAAGUUCCCAAACCCGUCAACAAUUCCAGAUGCUGCCUGACCUGCCGAGUUCCUCAAACAUUUUGUUUGUUGCUCCAGAUUCCAGCAUCUGCAGUCUGUUGUGUCUCCAUGGCAAUGUAGCAUCUCGUUUUUUUAAAACCCUUUUCCAAUCAUGUCUUUGAAAUUUCCUGUUGAAUUUACAUCCAUUAUCCUUCCUGGCAGCAGAUCCCAAAUCACAGCAAUGCACUAUGUGAACAACAUAGAAUUUCAUCUUUCCUCUGGUUCUUCCUAAUUUUUAAUAAAAUACUAUUUCUGCUUAAAUACUUGAUUAAUUCUCUUUUAAGUGCUGUGCUUUGGGGUUGUUAAAAAUUCCUCUGGUUUAAAACAGUGAAUGAAAAUCUGAGUUCCAGCUGUUCUAGUUUAAUUAAAUCAUUGAUGGUGUUAGGUUUUGACAGUGGAAGUGUUUGCACUUGUCAAUGUGAAGAAGGUGUGCAUUGUGAGUCAUGCAGAAGACUGUUUAAAAACGAUCUUAUCUGUAUUUAUUAUAUUUUCUCUGUGC